GUCCCUAGUUCGGAUUNUAGGCUGAAACUCGCCUACAUGAAGCUGGAAUUGCUAGUAAUCACAGGUCAGCAUACUGUGGUGAAUACGUUCCCGGGCCUUGUACACACCGCCCGUCACACCAUGAGAGUUGAGAAUACCCGAAGCCCAUGUCAAAGUGGUCGAAGGUAGGCUUGAUGAUUGGGGUGAAGUCGUAACAAGGUAAC
This 203-nucleotide ribosomal RNA is filed under the name uncultured bacterium. RNAcentral's name for it is "partial 16S ribosomal RNA". It matches the Rfam family "Bacterial small subunit ribosomal RNA", at positions 1284 to 1500 of the family's 1533-position model. The record is from RNAcentral.